RNAcentral lists this ribosomal RNA (500 nucleotides) under uncultured bacterium. RNAcentral's name for it is "partial 16S ribosomal RNA". It matches the Rfam family "Bacterial small subunit ribosomal RNA", at positions 30 to 523 of the family's 1533-position model. The record is from RNAcentral.
AUUGAACGCUGGCGGCAGGCCUAACACAUGCAAGUCGAGCGGCAGCGGGACCUUCGGGUUGCCGGCGAGCGGCGGACGGGUGAGUAAUGCCUAGGAAUCUGCCUGUUAGUGGGGGAUAACGCGGGGAAACUCGCGCUAAUACCGCAUACGUCCUACGGGAGAAAGCGGGGGCUCUUCGGACCUCGCGCUAACAGAUGAGCCUAGGUCGGAUUAGCUAGUUGGUGGGGUAAUGGCCCACCAAGGCGACGAUCCGUAACUGGUCUGAGAGGAUGAUCGGUACAACGGGAACUGCGACAGGGUCGAGACGCCUACGGGAGGCAGCAGUGGGGAAUAUUGGACAAUGGGCGAAAGCCUGAUCCAGCCAUGCCGCGUGUGUGAAGAAGGUCUUCGGAUUGUAAAGCACUUUAAGUCGGGAGGAAGGGCUGUAGGCUAAUACCUUGCAGUUUUGACGUUACCGACAGAAUAAGCACCGGCUAACUUCGUGCCAGCAGCCGCCGUAA